Molecule: transfer RNA, 72 nt
Filed under: Pseudaminobacter soli (ex Zhang et al. 2022)
Lineage: Bacteria; Pseudomonadati; Pseudomonadota; Alphaproteobacteria; Hyphomicrobiales; Phyllobacteriaceae
Description: tRNA-OTHER
Source: RNAcentral
GCGGGCUUGCUCUCGGUGAGUUAAGAGGCUUCCAAUCUCCCAAGGCCGGUUCGAUCCCGGCAGUCCGCUCCA